This 3996-nucleotide long non-coding RNA is filed under the name Fragaria vesca (wild strawberry). RNAcentral's name for it is "long non-coding RNA (FVES_LNC002384)". Lineage: Eukaryota; Viridiplantae; Streptophyta; Magnoliopsida; Rosales; Rosaceae. The record is from RNAcentral.
UUUUCUUCUCUGUCUUCCUUAUGUGUUGCUCUAAACUCUUCAGUUCAGUUCUGUCUUUGUUCUCUAAUGAUCAUCGUUCUCUUCUCUAAACUAACCACACCCAAUUCACUAGCUCACAAGAAAGAGGAGAGAAUCGCCAUGAAUCCUACUGUCAAAGAAUAUGAAAUUGUCUUUUCAAUUUGCGGUUAGCUUCUAUAAGUUUCAUUGUCCUCUUUCUCAAACUAGUUCUUGUUUCAGCUAUUACCCAAUAAAGUGGAUGAUUGAUUUGUGCCAUGAAUUUCAAAUUAGGGAACUUGAAUUGCUUGGGUACCAGCUGGGUGUUUGCUUUCAAAAAUUGGAUUGCUAUCAUCUAUGGGCAUAAAUGCUUGUGUGCUUGGAGAUUUUGGCUGCUAGGUGCUUGAUUUGAGGUAGGGAAAACAAACUUUUCUUUAUAGCUUUGAUUCUAGUUUGAUAUGUAUUUGGGGUGAUUGUGUUGGAAAUGUUUCUUAUGCAUUCUUUCUUGGCUGUAAAUUGACAAGCAGUUGGUUUGUCAAUCUGAAGUAUUGAGUUUUCAUUGUUGUGAUGUCUCAUUCGGUUUAAUUCUUUCUGAUAUGAUCAUAUGAGUAUGUUGAUAGGUUCUUAUUCAUGGUUCAAGUGUCCUUGUAAUGGAUGUGUUAGUGUUGAUAUAAACUAUUAGCCUUUGAAUAUCCAUGUUGAAGUUCUUUGAAGUAUGUACAGAAGCCAACGUCCACUUUCCUCAAAAUCUUUUCUUAUGCCUCCAUAUAUUUUGGUAUAUAUCCGUGAAAGUGUUUUAGUGCAAAUCUGUUCCAUGUCAAAUCUUGUUUCAUUGUAGUGCUUGAUGAUCUCAAAAGAAGCUUCCUAUGGCUGUACUUGAUGGUUCAUUUCUUGAUCUAGUCUUGACGUCCGAUUGUAUCAUAACUCAUUCAUAUAAGUGGUUUAUAUUAGUCCAUCAAUAUUUGUAUACUUGUUAAAAAGGAAGUUGAAAUUUUAAAUCUACUAGAACUUUUCAGUAUAUCUCCUCCAACUGGUUUUAUGUUUUCUUUGCGUUGUCUUCUAGCAAAACUUGUGCAGCCCACUUUCAUGUUUCUUACUUUCUUCUUAUCUGCUUAUGAUCCUAUUAUCGAUCCAGUUUAUCUUCGUCAAGAUUCCUUGAAUUCACAUGAUUAUUGGUCUUGCCUGGACGUCAUUACUAUAAGUUCUGUUUCUUUCUCUACAAUCAGCCUAUUGACUUGCUCUUAUUUUCGAUGUGUAAACAGUCAUAUUUAGGAAAAGUUGUUGAGUUCUAUACAAUUUCUAUUUUAUUCCUUUUAAGAUACAGUAAAGAGAUUUAUGUGCCCUUUCAACUUCAAAGUCUAUUUUGUUUCCAGUACCUUUUGGUCCAUAUGAAAUCAUGAGUUCCAAGUCAAAAUGUACCUGACUAUAAUUGAGUUCAGUUCGUACUACUUGAUAUCCUUGUCUGAAAGUAUUCGUUAUUCAUUGACAAAAUUAUCAUAAAGCUACUCAUGUUUAUUGAGUAAUUCAAUGCCUUGCAUUAUGUUGGGAUAUAUGUGUACUGUUCUUCGUUAUUGGUUAUAUCCUUCUCCAUCAGUUAUCGUCUUUGUUGUUGAUUACUCCAAUAGUUUGAAAACCCAAGUCUUUGCUGCUGGCUUUGAAAUCCAUGUAUUGAUACAUACCUCAUGUUCAGCUUGCUAUUGAAAGCCGAUUCUUCUGAUGUCUGUUUGAAUUUAUUUAGAGACAAGAUUCCAUUCUUUGAUAAUUUCCUCUUGCCAUCUAUGAGUUUGUGAAAUCAGGUUCUCUACCUCAUUGUCAUUAGUUCUAAACUCGUGUACCUAUUGCUUUGAUCUUCACCUAAAGAUCUGCUCUGUUCAAAUUCCUUUCUAUUGAAAGAACAGAGGUCCAUGUUACAGUACUAUUUCUAGGCAGUGUCAUAUGAUAUUUUGAAAAGGGAUUUCAAGUUUCUUUCUGAAAUCUUUGUUUGAUCAGUUGGUCUGGAAAGUGAAACUUCCUGGAAAGAAAUGAUUAGAUUUCAAAUAUUCGGUUCGGUUAGGCCCGGUGAAUUAUGUGAGUGGGGAUUGUGACUCCCUUGGGUUGUUUAACCCUAAACCUGAUCAGGGUACCGCAUGUGCGGGGUUUGCUUAGUGGUAUAGCUGGGCGGUGGGCUCUAACCGGCAUCUUAAGGAUUUGUUAAAAUUUGAGUAAAAGAAAGUUCUAUGAGCUUCAUGAGUUUUCUCAUCGACACUUUUGUUGGUUCAUGGUUAUUCUUAUCUGUUAACCUUGUUCAGGUUAUCCUUAUGAUUAGCUUUCUUCUAUUUCGUUUGUGUAUACUGGCUGUUGAUGCUUGUUAUACUUGGUAAAGUGUGAUAUCUGAAAUUCCAAUGUUAUCUUCGAGUCGAGUUCAUUUAUUCUACUUCCAGACUUCUGAUUUUCUCUCUCACUAGUGCAGCAGCAAUUAUUGGGGUUAAUCUCAUUUCAUUGGUCAUUUCUCUUAAGCUUCAUGUUUGUUCCUGCCUUUCAUUUUCAAGUGCAUGUUGAAUUAGAGUCUUUGUUAUAAAGAUUAUUUUGUCGUACCUACUGAGCUUGUGAAACUCAUUCCCUAUAUUCUUGUUGUUUUCAGGUAGUCCAUAAAUGGACAAGUUAAUGAUACUCUGGAGUACUUGAGUUAAAGUUUUGGUAUUAUUCUGUGAUGGUGUUACUGUGCUUCACUUGUGUCAGAGUGCUUGUGUUCUCUUGGACUGAUUGCGUUGUUAUAAUUGAAUGAGUAUGUUGUUGAUGUUACCUUGUUUUAAAGGGUUAGAAUUUCUAUGUAGCUUUGAGGCAGCAAUCUGAUCCCGUUUUGAUGCCAUAUGUGAUGGAUAGUCAUGUAAUUAGAGUUUGUUAUUGAACAAAAUGUAAAGCUUUCUCUAGCCUUUCUCUUUUCUGAUUUUUAUUGUUUCUGGCAUCUUUAAAAGUAGUAGAACAAGGAUUUAAAGUUGUACUAAAAGGAUUCUCUACAAUUACCUUUGUUACUGUACCGUUUUACAAUUCUUUGGAAAAAGAGUAUGUUAGAGUUACAUCUCACGUUUAGCUCACUGUGUAUCAUUGAAAGCAAUUGAACAAGGAAUUAAAGUGUGUUCAAAGUUUUAUUCAAUAUCUUUUGUUUACAGCUCUGGUUUAAAACGUUGGGAAAAUUGAAAGUAUUAGUAUUUCUUGGGAAGUUUAGUUCUCAUGUUUCACCUCUUUGUUUUCAACAUAAUGAUUCUUACUUCCUCUUUUUGUCAACUUGGCCAAAGUUUUAGUUGAGGUGUUGCUUCCUUCCAAGUUUAUUUAAAAGAAAAAAAAAAUAAUUCCACCAAUCUUUCUUUCAAUUUAAUCCAUCACUUUAGUCAUACCCUAAGGUGAGGGUGUGACAAGUUGUCUCUUAGGUACGUAGCACCAGAAGAGAGAGAAUGUACUGGUUGCUAUAUAGAUGUGUCGGGCCACUAGAUGAGAGGGGAUGUACUAGUGGGCCCCAGGAGUUAGACACCAGGAGAGAGGGGAUGAACUGAUGGCACCAGAAGAGAGGGGAUGUACUGGUGUGUGCGUAUAAGAGUGUCAAUGUGGUCUUGCGAGUUCGGUAGAGUUGUUGAUGUGGCCACGGGUGACUUCAUACGAGCGUUGGGGUAGUUGAUAGUGUGUGUGGUGGUAGGCUUGUCGAUAAGGUCAUAUACGGGUGUGAUUAGUGACGACGCUUGACAUUUAUGAUCGCUUAAUAUGCUGAUGAUAUUUGAUUUUAAGUAUAUAUAUAUAUAUUACGGAUUUCUAAGUUUGCUUAUAAGAUCUCAUAAUUGAAAUAGAUUUUCGGAAAACAUGUUAUGAGUGUUCUUUGUUUUAAUUCAAAUUGAUCGCAUGCUUGCUUUAUGGAUUAAUAAAGAAAUUGGGAAAAUAUCGUUGUAUUAACUUUCAUUGUUUUUGGUAAGAUUAUUUUUGUCUACUCACUCUAACGUAGUUUUCUGAAAUGUUUUCCCCUGGGCUCUUCAG